Molecule: ribosomal RNA, 976 nt
Filed under: Paraprevotella clara YIT 11840
Lineage: Bacteria; Pseudomonadati; Bacteroidota; Bacteroidia; Bacteroidales; Prevotellaceae
Description: bacterial SSU rRNA
Rfam family: Bacterial small subunit ribosomal RNA
Source: RNAcentral
AGAGUUUGAUCCUGGCUCAGGAUGAACGCUAGCUACAGGCUUAACACAUGCAAGUCGAGGGGCAGCAUGGACCCAGCUUUGCUGGGUUUGAUGGCGACCGGCGCACGGGUGAGUAACGCGUAUCCAACCUGCCCUUUACUCCGGGAUAGUCUCCUGAAAGGGAGUUUAAUACCGGAUGUGUUUGUCUUUCCGCAUGGGAGCGACAAAUAAAGAUUGAUUGGUAAAGGAUGGGGAUGCGUCCCAUUAGCUAGUUGGCGGGGUAACGGCCCACCAAGGCAACGAUGGGUAGGGGUUCUGAGAGGAAGGUCCCCCACAUUGGAACUGAGACACGGUCCAAACUCCUACGGGAGGCAGCAGUGAGGAAUAUUGGUCAAUGGGCGAGAGCCUGAACCAGCCAAGUAGCGUGAAGGACGACGGCCCUACGGGUUGUAAACUUCUUUUAUAAGGGAAUAAAGUUCGCCACGCGUGGUGUUUUGUAUGUACCUUAUGAAUAAGCAUCGGCUAAUUCCGUGCCAGCAGCCGCGGUAAUACGGAAGAUGCGAGCGUUAUCCGGAUUUAUUGGGUUUAAAGGGAGCGUAGGCGGGCUUUUAAGUCAGCGGUCAAAUGUCACGGCUCAACCGUGGCCAGCCGUUGAAACUGUAAGCCUUGAGUCUGCACAGGGCACAUGGAAUUCGUGGUGUAGCGGUGAAAUGCUUAGAUAUCACGAAGAACUCCGAUCGCGAAGGCAUUGUGCCGGGGCAGCACUGACGCUGAGGCUCGAAAGUGCGGGUAUCAAACAGGAUUAGAUACCCUGGUAGUCCGCACGGUAAACGAUGAAUGCUCGCUAUGGGCGAUAUAUUGUCCGUGGCCAAGCGAAAGCGUUAAGCAUUCCACCUGGGGAGUACGCCGGCAACGGUGAAACUCAAAGGAAUUGACGGGGGCCCGCACAAGCGGAGGAACAUGUGGUUUAAUUCGAUGAUACGCGAGGAACCUUACC